UUUCUUUCUUUCUUUCUUUCUUUCUUUCUUUCUUUCUUUCUUUCUUUCUUUCUCUCUUUCUCUCUCUCUUUCUCUCUUUCUCUCUUUCUUUCUUUUUUUGCCUUUUAAGGCCGAACCCGUGACAUAUGGAGGUUCCCAAGCUAGGGGUUGAAUCGGAGCUAUAGCCACCAGCCUACGCCACAGUCACAGCAAUGCCAGAUCCAAGCCGUGUCUGCAACCUACACCACAGCUCACUGCAACACUGGAUCCUUAACCCACAGAGUGAGGCCAGGGAUCGAACUCACGUCCUCAUGGAUGCUAGUCAGGUUCAUUAACUGCUGAGCCAUGACGGGAACUCCAUGGCUGUGGAUUUCUUGCAGAGAACAACCUGGCACCAGUGUCUGUGGUGCUGAGGGGGGAGCCCUGGUCUAAGCUCUGCAGAGAUGCACGCACAUUGUAUGUUAGGGUGAUCAGCUCAGAGGGAGGGGCAGGUGCCUUGCAGGGUCCUCAGCAGCUGGGGUGGGAUGGUCUCCUGGUCUUGCCCCUGGCCCCAAGCAGGGUCACACAGAGAGGGGACCUGUGAAGGGCCACUCCCACCACACUGGCAUUGGGACUUUACUACAAAGGAGACAAAAUCUCUUACAGCCCCCCAGAAGCCAGGAGCCGAGCUACCCCCUACCCCCAGCCAGGGCUGGCUCUGGGCUCCCAGCUCUGGGCCUGAGCUUCUCCAGGGUCAAGGUCACCCUGGCCUGGCAUGGAGAGGGCUGGCCAUGUAAGGGCCUUCUGUGACCUUGUGCAUCGUGACCUUUGGUGGGAUGCGGGGGCUGUGAAAGACCAGUUGGGUCUUUGCCAGGCAGACGUUUCCCAACAGAAGGCGCGUACCCCCUAGAGACCAGCGUCUUGUGACUCCCUGUCAGCUGGUCCUUUUGUACACGGGCUAAAUUGGGUCCCCGGGCAGCUAUAUUUAGAAAAGGCUAGGAAAAAAAAAAAAAAAAAGAAUGAAUGAGAUGCCCACAAGCGAGGGGAAAACAGAGCUGCAGGGCAAGUGGCCGCCCUCGACUGAAGCCCGGAGGCGGGAGGACAAUGAGCCGCGGUGACAGAGGGUGACAGUGCAGCUGAUGCAGGAGCAGAAGAAAGGGCCCUCUCUGUCCACCCAGAGGAUGACUGUAGUCAUGUGAGGGUGUGCAAGCUGGGAACCAGGCCGGGCCAGUGCGCUGAGUGCCCGUGGAUCAGGUCACCCCUGUUCUCAGCUUCCCGGCACCAAGGAAAUGCCGUCACCCUGGCCCCGUGAGGGUGUAGCUCAGAGCCAAAGGGCAGGAGGCUGUGAGAGAGGGAGGGCAGGUCCAGGCCUUCCCACCUGGGCCUGGACAAACUCCUACACAUCCUGCAAAACCCUGUGAAGUGUCACCCCCUCUGAGAAGCUCCUGGUCCACUGUCUGUGCACAGGCCGCAUCAGAAUCCUUCCUUGGGGUAUCCCACAGCUCCCCGGACCUUCCUUGGGCUGCAUUUCCUGUGGCCACCAAUUCCCACAAAUCUGGUGGCUCAAAACCACACAUUGAUUAUUUCACAGCCCUGAGGACAGGAGUCUGACUCCGGCCUCAUGGGGCUAAACCCAGGUGUGGGCAGGGCCGAUCUCUCUGGAGACUCCAAGGAAGAGUUGGUUUCUGCCUCUUUCAGCUUCUAGAGGUGCUGCAUCCCUUCUUCCAUCCUCACAGCCAGCAGCGCAGCAUCUCCUGUCUCUCUCUGCCUCUGAUCCUCCUGCCUCCCUCUUAUGAGGACCUUGUGACGACACUGGGCCCCGGGGGAAUCCAGGAUCACCCCCAUCUCAGAGGCCUUCACUUAACCCCCUCUGAAGAGUCCCUCUGCCACAUGAGGUCACACGUCCACAGCACCUGGAAGUAGAGAAUGUGGGCAUCUUUGGGGGCUGCAGCUGGAAGCUGAGCACCAAGGGACCAUCUGGAUGGGAGGGUUUGGUUACAGCAGUUCAGGGCGUUUACAAAGGAGGCUCCUUCCAGGAAUUCACUCUGUCCCCAGGAUGAAUCGCUUUCCAAGGAUAGGCCUCCCAGGGGCAGAGGACCUGGCCACACUUGAAGUCCAUGGUGGAUGCCACUGGUAGGCAUGUGCCUGGGAUGGCGCACUCUGCAGAUCAGGUGCAGUGCUGCUGAGGACGGACCUCGGGCCUGGGUCACAGGCUCUAGCUUCUUGCUCUGAGCUCUGGGUCACUGGCCAAGAUGGCAGCACCAGUGUGACCAGUGGUUCCUGAGCAUUGCUGUUCCACCUUCAUGUUGUUAAAAAGAGCUGGAACCAAACAGACCCAGAGAGGCUCUCCCCAGGGGCUAGCUAGAGUAGGGACAUUUUUCAUGUUAAAAAAAGAGGGCCAACAGUAUAAUUACUUGAACAACUUUAGAGAGCUGCCUGGUGUGGGGAGCCAGACUCUAGAGCAGAGGGGGCACUGGUGAAAUCUAGGGACAUCUGUGGUCUUCCCAGCAGGGGGAGGCUCCUGGCAUGGAGGGGGUGGGGCUAAGGGUGCUGCCCGAUACCCUGCAGUGCCCAGGAUGGCCCCCCACAGAGGACGGCUGGGCUGUGUCAGUGGUUUGGGGCGGGGAGGGGGGACCCCCGCCCAGGGUCCUCUUUCCUGUGAAAUGUAUACAUUGUUUUGGCUCCAUCAGUUUCAAGGGAGAAGCCCGGGUGAGCCAAGGCCACUGCUGUGGCUCCUGGGGCACCUGCUGUAGGCUCAGGCCACGCAUAUUAGUGUUAAAACUCCUGAGGGGCCCCAGAUGCUCACCAGGUGUGGACACAGGGGUUUGCGGUCAAAGCUCAGGAUGUCCUGCGCUGCAGCAAAGCAUCAAAAUUUCUGGAUGGAAACCUGGCUUGGCGCUGACCUUUGUGUGUCCUGGCUGGAAGCCUGACCUUCAAGCCCAGCACCGAGGGGUGGGAGAUGGAGGGGGGCAGAGAAGCAGCAGUCUUGUCUGAGAUGCAGGUUUUAGCCUCAACAAAAGUGCUGCUGGGCUGCAUCCUCAUAGGACAUGGAAGGGGAGCACGUGUGGAACUGUGGUGUCUCCUGUGGAAUCUUCCAGAGGCCAACUGCAGAACUACUGCUCCUGGUGAUCCAGGGUGCCCUGAGCCCCCUGAUUGGUUGGGAAGGAGGGAUGUCAGGGCCCGGGUUCUUGAGGGGGUGCAGAAAGCCCCCGGCCAGAGUGAGUUAAUCUUGGCUUCCAGCGGCCUCUGCCCCAAGAUGAGGUUUCGCUGACCCGCCCGGAAUGUCUAACAAUGAGACUGAGUGUCUGGUUCAGCUCACGCUGACAUCUCCUUUCUCGUCCAUCCAAAUUCCAUUACGCCUUUUCUUGUUAAUGCAGAAACGCAGCCAAGCCCGGCUGCCCGGGAAGCACCAAGGUCUCCUGCUGCUCUCGCCAGAAAGGGGAGCCAUGGCUGGGGGGCUGGGUGCCUGGCUCUCAGGGUCCCUGAAGGACUUAGGAGAGGUGGCUUGGGCUGGCACCGCACAUUAGGAAGUCUCUAAUGCAUGGGCCCUGUGGGGUCCUCACAGGACUCUGCGUUCUCAGAGAGCCAGGCAGAGCUGCCAGACCUCUGCCCCUGCCCUGGAGCCCCUCCUUGCUGGCCGGAUGAAGCCCACAUGCAAGGAGCAGUAGGUGACCUGUAGCAGCUGCUGGCAGCCUCCAGCUGAAAGGCAGCAGGCACCCAGGACCCAGUGCCUAAGGUAACAGCCUCGAGGUAACAAAUUCUGCCUAUACCUCAGGGACCCUGGAGCAGAGUCUCCCCCAGGUGAGCUUCUGGGCAAGAACAUGGCCUGGUGGCCUGGUGGGACAUGGAGCAGAGGACACAGUUAGGCUGUGCCUGGACCACUGACUCGCUGUGAGAUGAUGAGUGGGUGGAGCUUGGGAUAGUUUGUUAUGCAGCAUCACUAACUAAUACAGCAGAGGGGCAUGACCUGCAGAGAGGACCCAAGCCUGCAGGAGAUGGACGGGGAUGUGGCCUGAUAGGGCCUGCCAGGACGCUCCCUCAUUCUUCCCACCAGUGUCAUGUCACUUGGGCCUGCCACUCCUGAAUUAAGUUAUGCGACUGUAAAAAGAGUAUUAAUAGAAAAUACAACACUGAUGUAAAAGACAUAAUAACAUCUCCCUCCUGACUCCAAAGUCUUUGACUAGAAUGACUGCUCUAGGAAGGUACAGUGUAUGUCCUGCUUGGAGAAGCCAGUCCCAAGCCACGCAGCUGGGGAAUGACAGGGCCAGGAGGCAGCCAGCUGUGGCUCCCCAGUCAUGUCAGGGAAGGGGCUACAUCAGGGAAAGAGAUUUGCUGAUCUAUCAAUUCCAAGCCAAAGAGCCUUUUUUUUUUUUU
RNAcentral lists this long non-coding RNA (4332 nucleotides) under Sus scrofa (pig). RNAcentral's name for it is "lncRNA (ENSSSCG00015068673.1)". The record is from RNAcentral. Lineage: Eukaryota; Metazoa; Chordata; Mammalia; Artiodactyla; Suidae.